UACGGGGGGAGCAAGCGUUGUUCGGAAUUACUGGGCGUAAAGCGUGCGUAGGUGGUUUGUUAAGUCUGUUGUGAAAGCCCCGGGCUCAACCUGGGAAUGGCAAUGGAUACUGGCAAGCUAGAGUGCGGUAGAGGGUAGUGGAAUUCCCGGUGUAGCGGUGAAAUGCGUAGAGAUCGGGAGGAACACCAGUGGCGAAGGCGGCUACCUGGACCAGCACUGACACUGAGGCACGAAAGCGUGGGGAGCAAACAGG
RNAcentral lists this ribosomal RNA (253 nucleotides) under uncultured bacterium. Its description in RNAcentral is "partial 16S ribosomal RNA". It matches the Rfam family "Bacterial small subunit ribosomal RNA", at positions 524 to 776 of the family's 1533-position model. The record is from RNAcentral.